Molecule: ribosomal RNA, 579 nt
Filed under: uncultured bacterium
Lineage: Bacteria
Description: partial 16S ribosomal RNA
Rfam family: Bacterial small subunit ribosomal RNA
Source: RNAcentral
UGGGGAAUUUUGGACAAUGGGCGAAAGCCUGAUCCAGCAAUGCCGCGUGUGUGAAGAAGGCCUUCGGGUUGUAAAGCACUUUUGUCCGGAAAGAAAUCCUUGGCUCUAAUACAGUCGGGGGAUGACGGUACCGGAAGAAUAAGCACCGGCUAACUACGUGCCAGCAGCCGCGGUAAUACGUAGGGUGCAAGCGUUAAUCGGAAUUACUGGGCGUAAAGCGUGCGCAGGCGGUUUGCUAAGACCGAUGUGAAAUCCCCGGGCUCAACCUGGGAACUGCAUUGGUGACUGGCAGGCUAGAGUAUGGCAGAGGGGGGUAGAAUUCCACGUGUAGCAGUGAAAUGCGUAGAGAUGUGGAGGAAUACCGAUGGCGAAGGCAGCCCCCUGGGCCAAUACUGACGCUCAUGCACGAAAGCGUGGGGAGCAAACAGGAUUAGAUACCCUGGUAGUCCACGCCCUAAACGAUGUCAACUAGUUGUUGGGGAUUCAUUUCCUUAGUAACGUAGCUAACGCGUGAAGUUGACCGCCUGGGGAGUACGGUCGCAAAAUUAAAACUCAAAUGAAUUGACGGGGUCAUAGCUG